RNAcentral lists this ribosomal RNA (447 nucleotides) under Actinomycetales bacterium. RNAcentral's name for it is "bacterial SSU rRNA". It matches the Rfam family "Bacterial small subunit ribosomal RNA", at positions 56 to 518 of the family's 1533-position model. Lineage: Bacteria; Bacillati; Actinomycetota; Actinomycetes; Actinomycetales. The record is from RNAcentral.
UGCAGUCGACGGUGAAAGAGAGCUUGCUCUCUGGAUCAGUGGCGAACGGGUGASUAWCACGUGAGCAAUCUGCCCCUGACUCUGGGAUAAGCGCUGGAAACGGCGUCUAAUACCGGAUACGAGCUGCGAAGGCAUCUUCAGCAGCUGGAAAGAACUUCGGUCAGGGAUGAGCUCGCGGCCUAUCAGCUAGUUGGUGAGGUAAUGGCUCACCAAGGCGUCGACGGGUAGCCGGCCUGAGAGGGUGACCGGCCACACUGGGACUGAGACACGGCCCAGACUCCUACGGGAGGCAGCAGUGGGGAAUAUUGCACAAUGGGCGCAAGCCUGAUGCAGCAACGCCGCGUGAGGGACGACGGCCUUCGGGUUGUAAACCUCUUUUAGCAGGGAAGAAGCGAAAGUGACGGUACCUGCAGAAAAAGCACCGGCUAACUACGUGCCAGCGCCCCC